GAGGCCGUUAAGACUAUACUUUCAGGGAUCAUUUCUAUAGUGUGUUACUAGAGAAGUUUCUCUGAACGUGUAGAGCACCGAAAACCACGAGGAAGAGAGGUAGCGUUUUCUCCUGAACGUGAAGCCGGCUUUCUGGCGUUGCUUGGCUGCAACUGCCGUCAGCCAUUGAUGAUCGUUCUUCUCUCCGUAUUGGGGAGUGAGAGGGAGAGAACGCGGUCUGAGUGGUGUGCGAGGAGGCCAUUAAGACUAUACUUUCAGGGAUCAUUUCUAUAGUGUGUUACUAGAGAAGUUUCUCUGAACGUGUAGAGCACCGAAAACCCCGAGGAAGAGAGGUAGCGUUUUCUCCUGAGCGUGAAGCCGGCUUUCUGGCGUUGCUUGGCUGCAACUGCCGUCAGCCAUUGAUGAUCGUUCUUCUCUCCGUAUUGGGGAGUGAGAGGGAGAGAACGCGGUCUGAGUGGUUUUUCCUUCUUGAUGGCUCAAUGACAGAGACUAGCUCGUAAACUCCGGGGCGUUUCUGGGCUGUUCGCUCCUGCUUGGCAGUGUAGCGAGAAAGGUUUUCGCCUCCUGUUUCAGCGGUGACGGCUCUUGGGUUUUCUCGGGGUGGCUUUUUAAUUUUAGUCUUGGCGCGAGGCGGGGGAUGCUGUGUGGCACCUCCUAUUGUCUCUUUUUGCGUUUUCUCCCAUUCUCGCUCCCUCUUUUGUCGCCGUUUCCCGCCCGCCACUCCCACCCCCAGACGGGGUCUCCGGGUCUCUUGUUCUGUCUGCCGCCCCGGCUGGAGUGCAGUGGCGCGAUCUCGGCUCCUAGCAACAUCUGCCUCCCGGGCUCAAGCGAGUCUCCCGCCUAAGCCCUCCCGAGUAGCCGGGGCUUAAAGGCGCACACGCCACUCCAGGCUUUUUUUUUUUUUUUUUUUGGCAGAAACGGGGUGUCAGCAUGUUAGCCAGGCUGGUCUCCAACGCGUGAUCUCAGGUGAUCCGCCGGCCUCGGCCUCCCGAAGUUCUGGGAUUACAGGCGUGAGCCACUGCACCCGGCCCUUCUAUUUUUUUAAAUAGCGACGGGGUUUCACCAUGUUGGCCAGGCUGCUCCUGAACACCUGAGUUCAGGUGAUCCGCCCGCCUCGGCCUCCCGAAGUUCUGCGAUUACAGGCGUGCCACCCGCACCCGGCCCUAAAAGUACUUUUUAUAGAGAUGGGGUCUCACUCUGUUGCCCAGACUGGUCUCAAACUGCUUAUCUCAAGUGACUGACUGUCUGCCUCAGCUGCCCAAGUAGCAGGGAUUACAGACACAAGCCACAGCCGCUGGCUCUAUUCAGGAACAUCUUAGUUCCAAGUUUUGGCAAUUAUGGAUAAAGCUGCUAUAAACAGGUGUGCAGGUUUUUGUGUGGACAUUUUCAACUCAUUUGGGUAGACACCAAGAGGCACGAGUUCUGAUCAUACCGAAAGUGUUUAGUUUCAGAAGAAGCUGCUUUUCUUGGGCUCCAUAACAAAAUACACAGACUUUGUGGCUUAAAUAACACAAAUUUAUUUCUUACAGUUCUCAGUCGGGCGCGGUGGCUCACUCCUGUAAUCCCAGAACUUCGGGAGGCCGAGGCGGGCGGAUCACCUGAACUCAGGUGUUCAGGAGCAGCCUGGCCAACAUGGUGAAACCCCGUCGCUAUUUAAAAAAAUAGAAGGGCCGGGUGCAGUGGCUCACGCCUGUAAUCCCAGAACUUCGGGAGGCCGAGGCGGGCGGAUCACCUGAGAUCACGCGUUGGAGACCAGCCUGGCUAACAUGCUGACACCCCGUUUCUGCCAAAAAAAAAAAAA
This 1801-nucleotide long non-coding RNA is filed under the name Homo sapiens (human). Its description in RNAcentral is "HSALNT0238234". The stretch from base 10 to 226 matches the Rfam family "Small nucleolar RNA U3". Lineage: Eukaryota; Metazoa; Chordata; Mammalia; Primates; Hominidae. The record is from RNAcentral.